UACGGAGGGGGCUAGCGUUGUUCGGAAUUACUGGGCGUAAAGCGCACGUAGGCGGCUUUGUAAGUUAGAGGUGAAAGCCCGGGGCUCAACCCCGGAACUGCCUUUAAGACUGCAUCGCUUGAACAUCGGAGAGGUGAGUGGAAUUCCGAGUGUAGAGGUGAAAUUCGUAGAUAUUCGGAAGAACACCAGUGGCGAAGGCGGCUCACUGGACGAUUGUUGACGCUGAGGUGCGAAAGCGUGGGGAGCAAACAGG
This 253-nucleotide ribosomal RNA is filed under the name uncultured bacterium. RNAcentral describes it as "partial 16S ribosomal RNA". It matches the Rfam family "Bacterial small subunit ribosomal RNA", at positions 524 to 776 of the family's 1533-position model. The record is from RNAcentral.